GACGAACGCUGGCGGCGUGCUUAACACAUGCAAGUCGAACGGAAAGGCCCUGCUUUUGUGGGGUGCUCGAGUGGCGAACGGGUGAGUAACACGUGAGUAACCUGCCCUUGACUUUGGGAUAACUUCAGGAAACUGGGGCUAAUACCGGAUAGGAGCUCCUGCUGCAUGGUGGGGGUUGGAAAGUUUCGGCGGUUGGGGAUGGACUCGCGGCUUAUCAGCUUGUUGGUGGGGUAGUGGCUUACCAAGGCUUUGACGGGUAGCCGGCCUGAGAGGGUGACCGGCCACAUUGGGACUGAGAUACGGCCCAGACUCCUACGGGAGGCAGCAGGGGUGAAUAUUGCACAAUGGGCGGAAGCCUGAUGCAGCAACGCCGCGUGCGGGAUGACGGCCUUCGGGUUGUAAACCGCUUUCGCCUGUGACGAAGCGUGAGUGACGGUAAUGGGUAAAGAAGCACCGGCUAACUACGUGC
Molecule: ribosomal RNA, 469 nt
Filed under: uncultured bacterium
Lineage: Bacteria
Description: partial 16S ribosomal RNA
Rfam family: Bacterial small subunit ribosomal RNA
Source: RNAcentral